RNAcentral lists this ribosomal RNA (735 nucleotides) under uncultured eukaryote. RNAcentral describes it as "bacterial SSU rRNA". It matches the Rfam family "Eukaryotic small subunit ribosomal RNA", at positions 672 to 1402 of the family's 1831-position model. The record is from RNAcentral.
GUGUGUACUGGCCUGCCCGCUCUUCCUUCCGGUUUGCAGGCGGCUUCCCUUCGCUGGGCGGCCGUCGUGCUCCGGAUCGUUUACUGUGAAAAAAUUAGAGUGUUUAAAGCAGACUUUACGUCGUCUUGAAUACAUUAGCAUGGGAUAAUGGAAUAGGCUCUUGCGCCUAUUUUGUUGGUUUCUAGGGGCGAGAGAAUGAUCAAUGGGAAUAGUCGGGGGUAUUCAUAUUUAAUUGUCAGAGGUGAAAUUCUUGGAUUUAUGAAAGAUGAACAUCUGCGAAAGCAUCUAUCAAGGAUGUUUUCAUCGAUCAAGAACGAAAGUUAGGGGAUCGAAGACGAUCAGAUACCGUCGUAGUCUUAACCAUAAACUAUGCCGACCAGGGAUUGGGAGACGUUCCAUGUAUGACUCGCCCAGCACCUUGAGAGAAAUCACAAGUCUUUGGGUUCCGGGGGGAGUAUGGUCGCAAGUCUGAAACUUAAAGGAAUUGACGGAAGGGCACCACCAGGAGUGGAGCCUGCGGCUUAAUUUGACUCAACACGGGAAAACUUACCAGGUCCAGACAUAGUAAGGAUUGACAGAUUGAGAGCUCUUUCUUGAUUCUAUGGGUGGUGGUGCAUGGGCCGUUCUUAGUUGGUGGAGUGAUUUGUCUGGUUAAUUCCGAUAACGAACGAGACCUCAGCCUGCUAACUAGUCAUGCGAACCGUCUGAUACGGGUGAAGGCCGGGCACGGCUCGG